UGAACUGCAUCAGUGCUUAGCCUAUCGUUC
Molecule: non-coding RNA, 30 nt
Filed under: Rattus norvegicus (Norway rat)
Lineage: Eukaryota; Metazoa; Chordata; Mammalia; Rodentia; Muridae
Source: RNAcentral